UUCUGGCUCAGGAUGAACGCUAGCUACAGGCUUAACACAUGCAAGUCGCGGGGCAGCAUGGUCUUAGCUUGCUAAGACUGAUGGCGACCGGCGCACGGGUGAGUAACGCGUAUCCAACCUUCCCCUUAGUAGGGCAUAGCCCGGCGAAAGUCGGAUUAAUACCCUAUGUUCUUCGUAGAUGGCAUCUGAGACGAAGCAAAGGUUAGCGCUAAGGGAUGGGGAUGCGUCUGAUUAGGCAGUCGGCGGGGUAACGGCCCACCGAGCCAUCGAUCAGUAGGGGUUCUGAGAGGAAGGUCCCCCACAUUGGAACUGAGACACGGUCCAAACUCCUACGGGAGGCAGCAGUGAGGAAUAUUGGUCAAUGGGCGAGAGCCUGAACCAGCCAAGUAAGCGUGCAGGACGACGGCCCUACGGGUUGUAAACUGCUUUUAUGCGGGGAUAAAGUGCCCUACGUGUAGGGUAUUGCAGGUACCGCAUGAAUAAGGACCGGCUAAUUCCGUGCCAGCCGCGGC
Molecule: ribosomal RNA, 512 nt
Filed under: uncultured bacterium
Lineage: Bacteria
Description: bacterial SSU rRNA
Rfam family: Bacterial small subunit ribosomal RNA
Source: RNAcentral